AUUGAACGCUGGCGGCAGGCCUAACACAUGCAAGUCGAGCGGAUGAAGGGAGCUUGCUCCUGGAUUCAGCGGCGGACGGGUGAGUAAUGCCUAGGAAUCUGCCUGGUAGUGGGGGAUAACGUCCGGAAACGGGCGCUAAUACCGCAUACGUCCUGAGGGAGAAAGUGGGGGAUCUUCGAACCUCACGCUAUCAGAUGAGCCCAGGUCGGAUUAGCUAGUUGGUGGGGUAAAGGCCUACCAAGGCGACGAUCCGUAACUGGUCUGAGAGGAUGAUCAGUCACACUGGAACUGAGACACGGUCCAGACUCCUACGGGAGGCAGCAGUGGGGAAUAUUGGACAAUGGGCGAAAGCCUGAUCCAGCCAUGCCGCGUGUGUGAAGAAGGUCUUCGGAUUGUAAAGCACUUUAAGUUGGGAGGAAGGGCAGUAAGUUAAUACCUUGCUGUUUUGACGUUACCAACAGAAUAAGCACCGGCUAACUUCGUG
This 484-nucleotide ribosomal RNA is filed under the name uncultured bacterium. RNAcentral's name for it is "partial 16S ribosomal RNA". It matches the Rfam family "Bacterial small subunit ribosomal RNA", at positions 30 to 507 of the family's 1533-position model. The record is from RNAcentral.